RNAcentral lists this ribosomal RNA (202 nucleotides) under Pseudo-nitzschia pungens. RNAcentral's name for it is "partial Eukaryotic large subunit ribosomal RNA". It matches the Rfam family "Eukaryotic large subunit ribosomal RNA", at positions 1489 to 1686 of the family's 3401-position model. Lineage: Eukaryota; Bacillariophyta; Bacillariophyceae; Bacillariales; Bacillariaceae. The record is from RNAcentral.
GACUGAAGUGGAGAAAGGUUCCAUGGUAACAGCAGUUGGACAUGGGUCAGUCGGUCCUAAGAGAUAGGGGAAUUCCGUUUCAAAGUGUGCGCUUGUUCGCACGACCUAUCGAAAGGGAAUACGGUUAAAAUUCCGUAACCGGGAUGUAGAUUCUGAACGGCGACGUAAAUGAACUUGGAGACGCCGGUGGGUGCCCUGGGAA